RNAcentral lists this ribosomal RNA (594 nucleotides) under Triticum aestivum (bread wheat). RNAcentral describes it as "partial small subunit ribosomal RNA". The record is from RNAcentral. Lineage: Eukaryota; Viridiplantae; Streptophyta; Magnoliopsida; Poales; Poaceae.
AUGCUAGAUAUUGCUUUAGGCAUUGCACGAGGAAUGGAAUAUCUACAUCAAGGAUGCAACCAGCGCGUUCUCCACUUUGACAUCAAGCCUCACAACAUCUUGCUGGACUACAACUUCAAUCCAAAGAUUUUAGACUUUGGCCUAGCAAAGCUGUGUGCCAGGGACCAAAGCAUCAUUACAUUAACUGCAGCAAGAGGCACACUGGGCUAUAUUGCACCGGAGCUAUAUUCCCGGAACUUUGGGGGCAUAUCCCACAAGUCAGACGUGUACAGUUUUGGCAUGCUGGUGUUGGAGAUGGUGAGUGGUAGGAGGAACUCAGAUCCAAGGACUGAGAGCCAGAACGAGGUAUACCUCCCGGAAUGCAUCUAUGAGGAAGUUAUCGCUGGCCAGGACUUGGCGCUUACAGGGGACACGGCAGAAGAAGAGAAAGAAAAGGUUAGAAAACUAGCCACAGUGGCACUGUGGUGCAUCCAGUGGAACCCAAAGAACCGUCCCUCGAUGACAAAGGUGGUAAACAUGUUGACAGGGAGGUUCCAGAAUCUACAGAUGCCCCCAAGGCCUUAUGUCCCAUCUGAAAACCAUGCUAUCCCUUAA